RNAcentral lists this microRNA (24 nucleotides) under Mus musculus (house mouse). RNAcentral describes it as "mmu-miR-7017-5p". The record is from miRBase by way of RNAcentral. Lineage: Eukaryota; Metazoa; Chordata; Mammalia; Rodentia; Muridae.
AGAGGGUUGUGAGACUAGGGCUGU